Molecule: long non-coding RNA, 639 nt
Organism: Solanum stenotomum
Lineage: Eukaryota; Viridiplantae; Streptophyta; Magnoliopsida; Solanales; Solanaceae
Exons: 3
Source: RefSeq, a predicted model, not a curated record
AACAAAAGCUUGCUGUGAAAAUAACUGUAAAUUGCUUUCAUUCUGGAUUAAUCAUAUUCAAACUUAAUCAUCAUAUAGCACCUGUUGAGGAUAAUUGUAAAAUUCUCUUUUACUCUUUUUCUAUAAGGUAAAUCAUACCUGAUUAGUGCCCGUUUGGAUCGACUUAUUUUAGGUGCUUUAAGCCAAAAUAGCUUUUAUUUUGGAGAAGAUAAAGAUAUGUUACGCCUGGUUAGUUCUUGGAUGAUCUGCAUAAUAUCCUUAUCUGUGAGGGAAAGAAGUAAAAGAAAAUUAUCAUACACAGCUUUGAAGAUGUAUAGGAAGUUUAUGAACAAGAAGCUCCAGAUUUUCUCAAGUAUCCAACGCCACACGCGUUAGAGUCUGUUCCACUAUACCUACUUGAAAUGGCCCCACAGGAGCACUCAACAUUGAUUUUCAACUGUCCAUCACAAUUGGUAGCCUAUUUCUUUGCUAAGAUUCAUGGGGUAUGCUGAGGAGGUACCGGCAUUGAUCAUCACAGUAGGCACAUUAUUGUUCCUCCCCAAAUUCCAUGAUUGAACGUGACAACUAUGACGAAGCCAAAGCUAAGCUUAAAGAGAAUUAGGGGAAUUGAAGAUGUAGAUGAAGAGUUCAAUGAUUUAG